Molecule: ribosomal RNA, 279 nt
Filed under: uncultured bacterium
Lineage: Bacteria
Description: partial 16S ribosomal RNA
Rfam family: Bacterial small subunit ribosomal RNA
Source: RNAcentral
UGCCAGCCGCCGCGGUAAUACGGAGGGUGCAAGCGUUAAUCGAAAUUACUGGGCGUAAAGGGUUCGUAGGCGGUUAUUUAAGUCAGAUGUGAAAGCCCCGGGCUUAACCUGGGAACUGCAUUUGAUACUGAGUAACUAGAAUGUGUUAGAGGAAGGCGGAAUUCCCGGUGUAGCAGUGAAAUGCGUAGAUAUCGUGAGGAACACCAGUUGCGAAGGCGGCCUUCUGGGACAACAUUGACGCUGAGGAACGAAAGCGUGGGUAGCAAACGGGAUUAGAUA